GAUGAACGCUAGCGGCAGGCUUAACACAUGCAAGUCGAGGGGUAACGGGGAUAGCUUGCUAUUUGCCGACGACCGGCGCACGGGUGAGUAACGCGUAUACAAUUUGCCAUGUACAGGGGGAUAACCGAGAGAAAUUUUGACUAAUACCCCAUGGUAUUAUGGAUCGGCAUCGGUUCGUAAUUAAAGAUUUAUCGGUACAUGAUGGGUAUGCGUCCUAUUAGUUUGAUGGUAAGGUAACGGCUUACCAUGGCUUUGAUAGGUAGGGGUCCUGAGAGGGAGAUCCCCCACACUGGUACUGAGACACGGACCAGACUCCUACGGGAGGCAGCAGUGAGGAAUAUUGGACAAUGGGGGCGACCCUGAUCCAGCCAUGCCGCGUGCAGGAAGACCGCCCUAUGGGUCGUAAACUGCUUUUGCACGGGAAGAAACCCGGCCUUGCGAGGCCGGCUGACGGUACCGUUCGAAUAAGCACCGGCUAACUCCGUGCCAGCAGCCGCAGUAAU
This 503-nucleotide ribosomal RNA is filed under the name uncultured bacterium. RNAcentral's name for it is "bacterial SSU rRNA". It matches the Rfam family "Bacterial small subunit ribosomal RNA", at positions 28 to 524 of the family's 1533-position model. The record is from RNAcentral.